UCGGAGGGAGAGAUUAUGCGGCUGCACACAACUGUUGUUUUAAUCCCCUGAGCGGAGAGAUUUAGCAAAAAAAAAAAAACCCAACGGGUUUUAACCUCAGCAGCCAUAUUGCGUGGAAAACCGGAGGGGGAAAAAGAGUAGGUUCUGUGGAAUAAGUGAUCUUCCAAGACGUCCUUAAGCGACACCUCCAGAGUUGGAUUUCCUCUCGCUGGUGCGCGGCUAAAUGGCCAGCUGGUAGAAGAAGUGAGAGGUCUGCGACUUGUUUCUUCAAUCAUAUCGCAUAAACAGUCGUUUCUUGUCCUGUGUGGAGGGUUGGGAUAAGCGUCGCCGAGAUGAAGGACCGACUGGAGCAACUCAAAGCGACGUGUGACCAAGAUGACGAUGAGGUGGAGAUCUCCAUGGACAAUGCAGCCUUCAUGGACGAGUUCUUCUGUCAGAUUGAGGACAUCAGGAGCAGUAUUGAUAAGAUUGAUGAGAACGUGGCUGAAGUCAAGAAGCUCUACUCCGUCAUCCUGUCUGCUCCCACAUCAGACCAAAAAACGCAGGAUGAGCUGGAGGCCAUCACCAACGACAUAAAGAAAAUGGCCAACAAUGCCAGAAACAAACUCAAGACCAUCGAGAGGAACCUGGAGUCUGAUGAGCAGGAGAGGGUGUCGGCUGACAUGAGGAUACGUAAAUCACAGCAUGCAGUUCUUUCCAGGAAGUUCGUCGAGGUGAUGACAAAGUACAACGAAGCCCAGGUGGACUUCAGGGAGAGAAGUAAAGGACGUAUCCAGAGACAGCUAGAGAUCACCGGAAAAGCCACAACAGAUGAUGAGCUGGAGGAGAUGCUGGAGAGCGGCAAUGCUGCUGUGUUCACUGCAGGGAUUGUGGACUCGGGGAUAUCCAAGCAGGCCCUGAGUGAGAUCGAAGCCAGACACAAAGACAUAGUCCGUCUGGAGAGCAGCAUUAAGGAACUCCACGACAUGUUUGUAGACAUCGCCAUGCUGGUGGAGAGCCAGGGGGAAAUAGUAGACAACAUAGAGCAGAAUGUGGGGAAGUCGGUUGACCACAUAGCAGUGGCUCAGAUGGAGACCAAAAAAGCUGUAAGGUAUCAGAAAAAGGCUCGUAAGGUACUGUACUCCAUCUUAGACCUCCACAAUAUUCAGAAUCUGCUGAUGAAAAUGGCUUUCGGCUGCAUUUCUUUAAUUUCUCCUCAGUUUCCCUGUUCUUCGUUUCUCAGACACCAUCACACACACAGUGUAAUAUCCAGAGCUGACCAAACGCUCUCCCCGCCUACACACACUCUUCCGACACCCUCUGUGUGCAUCGUUUCUGCAUCUCCUUUUCUUCUUCUCUCUUUCUUAAACGUUUUCCGACGCAACCUCGUUCGACGUCCCGCCCCCCUGCCCCCUUCCGUCAGGGUGGAAUGAUUGAAAGGAUUGAGAGCAACAUGGACCAAUCGGUGGGCUUUGUGGAGCGGGCGGUAGCCGAUACUAAGAAAGCCGCAAAGUUUCAGCAAGAGGCCCGCCGCAAGUUGAUCAUCAUCGGCGUGGUCUGUGCCGUUAUCGCCGCCAUCCUCCUCAUCGUCAUCCUUACCCAGACAUUAUAGAAGGACCUCGCUCUCUCUCCCUCCCUCUCUCUCUCCCCCUGAAAAUCAUCAUCUCAUUACCAAUCACUCCGUUCAUCAGCUGUCCCUCGGGGAUAGAAAGGGAAAAGACUGAAUUCCUCAACGCCGUAUGGAUGUAAGCAUUCCUCACCCUCAGUUGAACAUCUGUUCAAGAAAUGCCAUGGGGGGGGGGGGGUCUGAUGAAUAGAAAAUGCCCCGGGGGGCACAUCUGACUGAUAACAUAGAGGAGCAAUAGAAGAGCGGGACUUCUCAUGGAAAGGUACCUUGACAGGGCCACCUACCAAUACAGUCAGACUGUCCGAUGCUUCCACAUCUGUCCUUUAGGUUCAGGCUGGGCUGGUUUGACACCCCUCCGCCGCCCCCCGCCCCCCCAAAAUGGAUUUGAGGGGUUGAGGACUCACUCUGCUGCCAGAUCAAGCAUCAAAACCAGACAAGGGACAGUACCUGUUGUCUCUCAUUUGAAAGGGAAAGAAAAAGGGAAUUUUGUAAAACUCACACACACACAAAAAAAAAGACUAUCACACAACAAUUUAAAACAUUUCAGCUGCAACAUUUCAGUGUCUAAUGUGAUGUGUACAUGAAGUUGUUCAUUUGAUUGCAAUGUUUAGUCAGUCAAUGUUGUGAAACCCCAUUGCUGCCAUUAAUUCUUGCCAUUGAGCCUUGACACAUUUUACGAUGUAAAGCUAGCUAUUUUCCACAGAUAGGGGAUUUCAUUGGUGGGUGGGUGGGGAGCAUCCAAGCACUUUCAGAUUGAAGACAUGUCUUUGUAUGAUUAACUUAGAUGGUCACGUAUGUUAAUGCAUCAUUGGCUGAACGCUGUUGAGUUCACCAACUUGGGAGGGGAACAGCGGACUCCUCUCAUCUAUGAUCCUUGAGUUUAAAAAUCUCAGUAGUUUCGAUUUUUAUAUGUAAUGAGCGGUGAUUCUAGCAGAUGCAGAGGUGGAGCAAGAGGAAACAAAAAAAAAAAAAGGAAAAGGUUUGAGGAUGCAUGCUCGCUCCUGACUCACAUUGAAAACGGUUGCAAACUUAAUGAACAUGAGCCUGCCAUGAUGGUAGCCGUUGUGUUUGACACCCAUGUGACCUUCUCCACAGUCUGCAGACUUUCACACCGCAAGAGUAGAUGAGAUGGUUAGCGUAGCUAGUCAAUUGCCUGUUUCCCAUGAGUGCCUAGCUCGUUCAUGUGUAUUUUUAAUGCUUUUUGAUGCCGCCGCUGACACGUUUUGAUGAUCAGCACACAAAGCGGUUCAGCUGAGGGGAAACGCCAGCCUCAAAUUGUCCAAGCUUUCUGGGGUCGGCUCUCUUCCGUGACAGAUCUUAUGAUCCCUUUUGAUGAAUAUUCAGCUCUGUGUUGACAUACAAAACCCUUGCAAUCACCAUCAUCAUCUUAAUAGGCUGUUGUCCACAUAUAAGCAGUAGCUGUGAGAAUAGCAGUCCCCCUAUCCACAGUGGCCAAGUGGUUAUCUAGCCUCCUGCUGCUAACAAUUGUGGCCUUAUUCCAGUGUCUCCUUCCCCAACUGUGUAUUCAUGGAUGAUUCUUAAAUGGCAUCUGGGAUGACAUGACCUACCACUAUCGUAUAACCCAGUGCCUUGACGAUAUCCAUAUACUCACUCUGUCUGAGUAUGAUAGACCAAGGGCAUGACAAAAAAUGCACCCAACAUCAUUUUAGAGCCUCGUUCAGACUGCCAACCCAAAUCCUUUUCUUUUUUUUUGGCAUAUCCAGAUUGAUUUUAGAAAGUCCGGAAAGCAACAAAAAAAACCAAAACCCAAAUCACAUGAAAUGUGAUUUUUGCAAAUCGGAUUCAAACCACAUUUGGAGGUGGUUUGAAAUGCGACUCCAAUCAGAUUUCUACAGAAGCAUCUCAGUCCGGACGCUCUGGCCGCACAAAUCGGAUUUCAAACUGUCUUUUGCGUCACUCGCAACACGACACACAACAACGUCAAAUCCAGAGUGCCCACCAUGACAGCUUGCAGGGAACAUCACAAUGUAUACCAGCCUCCUCCGUUGCAGAGUUUGUCUGGUGCGACGGAGGAGUUCUGCACCACGACUUGACAGAGCGAUUGUUUGGAGAGUGAGAUUGAUGGCUGUCUAUUUCUCAUGCUUCCUUAUUGGUAAACCGCAUCACCAGCAUAUAGUUACUCACACCUAUGUUGUUACCACAGCAACCCAUGCAGAUAGAUUGUUGAUGUCUGGACACACACAUCCGAUCGGAUCACUUGUUCAUCCGAUCUGAUCACAAUAGUGUGAACAGUCUGUCUUGAGAAAUCCGAUUUUCCAGCAGUCUGAACAAGGCGUCUAAAUGGUGUUAAAUAUGGAGCCUGACUCCUCCCAUUAAUCGUUUAUUCUAAGAAAAUAAUUUCAGAUAAGGCCCUUCAUCCCUCAGACUGGUCUGGACCAUACAUUCUGUUCUUGGGUUGCUACCAUGAGACUGGUCCAAUCAAAUGCCCCCAGACAAAGCUAGUAGUUUACAUCACAUUAGCCAGCUGCGAGGGCUUACAUGGGUAAAAGAUGGAAAAAUGUAAUCCAUGAAGACUGUUUUGAAUUUUUUGAAUGUAAAUUAUGGUGCCAAAGAUUUCAA
Molecule: RNA transcript, 4186 nt
Organism: Lampris incognitus (smalleye Pacific opah)
Lineage: Eukaryota; Metazoa; Chordata; Actinopteri; Lampriformes; Lampridae
Gene: stx3b
Gene name: syntaxin 3b
Exons: 10
Source: RefSeq, a predicted model, not a curated record